This 503-nucleotide ribosomal RNA is filed under the name Fusarium incarnatum. RNAcentral describes it as "eukaryotic LSU rRNA". The stretch from base 150 to 303 matches the Rfam family "5.8S ribosomal RNA". Lineage: Eukaryota; Fungi; Ascomycota; Sordariomycetes; Hypocreales; Nectriaceae. The record is from RNAcentral.
GUCGGAUUUUACACUCCCAAAUCCCUGUGAACAUACCUAUACGUUGCCUCGGCGGAUCAGUCCGCGCCCCGUAAAACGGGACGGUCCGCCCGAGGACCCUAAACUCUGUUUUUAGUGGAACUUCUGAGUAAAACAAUCAAAUAAAUCAAUACUUCCAACAAUGGAUCUCUUGGUUCUGGCAUCGAUGAAGAACGCAGCAAAAUGCGAUAAGUAAUGUGAAUUGCAGAAUUCAGUGAAUCAUCGAAUCUUUGAACGCACAUUGCGCCCGCCAGUAUUCUGGCGGGCAUGCCUGUUCGAGCGUCAUUUCAACCCUCAAGCUCAGCUUGGUGUUGGGACUCGCGGUAACCCGCGUUCCCCAAAUCGAUUGGCGGUCACGUCGAGCUUCCAUAGCGUAGUAAUCAUACACCUCGUUACUGGUAAUCGUCGCGGCCACGCCCGUAAAACCCCAACUUCUGAAUGUUGACCUCGGAUCAGGUAGGAAUACCCGCUGAACUUAAGCCUAU